ACGCGCCUCCGCUGAAAAAUUCAAAACCCCAAAAUUAAAACCCUAACUUACGGCGGAGGGACUUCUCCGCCGAGAAAUGUUUCGUCUGUGGCGGCACAACGCCGCCGCGUCCAGCGUCAGAGGAAUUUUAACCAAGACGGUUUCCGAACAGCAAUACUACUGCUCCACCGCUGCCGCUACCAACGGGGAGAACUGUGGAAAAGGAAAAAAUGAUAGCCGAUGGUUGAUGUUGCCUCCAUUUGACCCCGCCGUGGACGGUUCUUCGAUUGGAAAGAAGCUGUGUGGCGAGCCAACCGACUCAAGCAUGACGGCUCUUAAGUGGAUUGUUAAGUGCUGCCCUCAUCUCCCGAGGUCUCUUGUUCAGAAACUCUUUCGCUUAAGACAGGUUCGAAAAGAGUGCUCCAAUAUUGAAACUAAAGAACAGCGUCCAAGAAGGAUAGGAGCUAAAGAUCUGAUGGAUAUUGGUGAUAGAAUAUUGCUUCCAAAAUCUGUUGAUGGAAAGUCUCCUUCAACAACAGCAGUAUCUCAGAGCUUUUCCGAUGAAGAAGAAUUGAAACUUGUCAAGAGUCUUGAGUUGUAUAAGGAUCCAGCCAUAAUUGUCAUCAAUAAACCGCCUGGAAUGCCUGUACAGGGUGGCAUUGGGAUAAAGAGAAGUUUAGAUGAAUUAGCUGCCAAGUAUUUGAAAUAUGAUUAUGCAGAGUCACCUCGCCUGGUGCACCGACUUGAUAGAGACAGCAGUGGUAUAUUAGUGAUGGGAAGGACACAGUUAACCGCUACCAUCCUGCAUUCUAUUUUUCGGGAGAAAACUUUUGGCGCAUCAGAUGAUGUUCCUGACAGUAAAAAAAUCCUUCAGAAGAGGUAUUGGGCCUUAGUCAUUGGAUCUCCUCGCCGUCGAGAAGGAUUGAUUUCUGUGCCUUUGGGAAAGGUGGUAAUUGACAAUGGAAAAUCUGAGAGAAUUACUGUAGUAGAUACUACCAAGACAGUGUCAGCUCAGCAUGCUGUGACAGAGUAUCGAGUUAUAGCAUCUUCACCAUGUGGUUACACAUGGUUAGAGCUGUUGCCACUUACUGGAAGAAAACAUCAGCUCCGUGUUCACUGUGCUGAAGUAUUGGGGACACCUAUAGUUGGAGACUACAAGUAUGGCUGGCAAGCUCACAAGAGAUUGGGAAGCCGCUUGGUUUAUGCUUCAGACCUUAGAUGGCACAACAAAAUAUCAGAAGUUCAACAUGAUACUGUUGGCUUCGACUCGGAAAUUGGAAGUAUAUCUGAUAAACAACUUCGUCUUCAUCUUCACUGCAAAGAGAUGAUCUUACCCAAUAUUUCACUGGCCUUGCAACAUAGAAAUGGAAUUUCAGACCUGGAUACUGCAGCAACGGAAAGCAUUAAGUUAGUUGCUCCAUUGCCGGCGCACAUGCAAAGAAGUUGGGAUCUACUGAACUAGUACCAUUAGUUCCAAGAGGAGGGAAGUAUGAUAUUCACAUGUGCUACUGAUAACUCAUGUCCCAGCCCAACAUUAGGUGGAAAAUAAUAUGGCUGGAUAUCGGAGAUUUCCCUGGUUUUCUUCCAAUUAGACCGGAAAAGAAGUCCUCACACCGUGGUUUCAAUUCAUACCAAGCGGAGCAGAAUCUAGACCGGAAAAGAAGUCCUAACACCGUUAUUCAAUCCAUACCAAGCGGAGCAGAAUCUAGACGGGAAAAGAAGUCCUGACACCAUUAUUCAAUCCAUACCAAGCGCAGCAGAAUCUGUUGGAUGAACGUAACCUACAUUUCAAUUAUCUCAGCUGUAAGUUGGCCUAGUAUGGUGGUUAUUGGAUGGCCUGUCGGUUGUAGAUGAAGGGAGUGGUCUUUUAA
Sesamum indicum (sesame) is the source of this 1850-nucleotide RNA transcript. It is a transcript of the gene named Pseudouridine synthase family protein, with no coding region annotated. Lineage: Eukaryota; Viridiplantae; Streptophyta; Magnoliopsida; Lamiales; Pedaliaceae. The record is from RefSeq and is a predicted model, not a curated record.